Long non-coding RNA from Rhea pennata, 4311 nucleotides. RefSeq lists it as uncharacterized. The transcript is spliced from 3 exons. NCBI's taxonomy places the organism in Eukaryota, Metazoa, Chordata, Aves, Rheiformes, Rheidae. The record is from RefSeq and is a predicted model, not a curated record.
CUCAUGGGGAAACGUUUUUAAAACAAACAAAGAAAACCCUAGGAAGAGAGGUUAGUCUAAUUAGAGGUAUAUGGAUUCAGGACAACAGAAACAGUGUGGGAAUGGAUUGAAUUUGAGCUCAAGUAUUAUGUUCAUUGCAGAGUGUGAACCUGUUUGUCUGGAGAACCAGCAGACUCAUCACCGGGUUUCUCGUUUUGUUUUUCAAGCCCACUAAUGUUUUGUUGUCGUUGCUACUAGAUUCCUCGAGUGAAUAGCGCGCCCCAUGAACACGAGUGCCUCGGCUUUGCAAACCCAGUGACAGACAGUGAAGUGUGAUUUCACCCCUGUGUGUGCACUGUGAGAAACCAGCAACUGCUACUUUGGUUAAAGUUUAGAGAGUGGGGGUUUCCUGUGGGCUGGAAUGCUGUAACUUUAACCCUUUAGCUGUUCUCACCGUGCAUGCCUAGCACUGUUUCCUCUGGAAAAAAUGACAGGUUAUGGAACCACCUCUUUGGUGAAAUCUUGCAGCAAGCAGGUUUUGAUCUCAUCAGCAACUCCAACCUGCACUGUUAGCAUUGACAAAAGAAAGGUAUUGAUCCAGCUGAAACGUGCCCAGGCUAUGGGGGAAAUGCACAGCUCGUCACUUCUGCAGUCAGAAGCCCUGGCUCCUCCUGGAACUGGGAGCACCCAAGUGGCACAUUGCCUGGCUCCGGCAUAACACAGCUACCUCUGCUGCUCCGGGACUCACAGUGCCAAAGCUGGACAGCCUGAUCCAUGGGGAGGAGGGGCAAAUGAGCCAGACCAAAGUCUAUGUUGUCUCUCUUCCCUGGGUGGAGGCUGCAGUGCUGUGCUACAGAAGUUUGAGCUACCAGCCAAAACACAGGAGCAUGAGGUAUCGUGGAAACCUCAUGUGUAAAGAACCAUUCUGUGGUAUGUCCCUGAUCCAUCCUUCGUUCAGUCUAAUGAGGAUCCUGCCUAAUUGUUGCCACCAGAAUUUCCAUGGCUGGAGUGAACAGCAAAGGCAAAGAUCAGCAGCACUGUCUGCUUCCUCCUGCCAGGCAAUUUGGGGAAGUCCCCUUCACUAACACAGAAGCUAAAGGAGCCUCGCAGAAAGCAGAAACACAGGCCUUUAAUUUCUCUCCAUAGCUAAAUGGUGCCUAUAUGUUCUCGUUUUGUAAAGGGUUCUGUGUUAAGAAAGUGGAGAUACUCCCGUUUUGGGGGGUUGGAUGUUUUGCCAGGUCCUAAGAUUAGCUGCAGUUUGUCUGCCCACAAUAAACCCUGAUUGAUCAGUAUAUAAAUAUUUAGUGUAUGACACCCCACCACCACCCUCUUGAUCUAGCUGUCAACCCCAGCAAAGAAAAUCUUUCUCCUUUUUAGGUAUUUUGUUUCAAGAGGACAAAUGUCUCUUUCUUGUAUGAUCUUGUACAAGAGAUGACUUCGGACAUGUCUGUACUGUGUUUCAUGCCCAGCUCUGGGCCUCAGUUAUUCACACUGCAGUUGUGUCUGCUCACCUCUGGGGACAAGCCAUACAGAAGGAAACCUUGGUGUACAUCUCUCCAGCUGUGCUUCACAGGUGACAGUUGAGACAUGGGCCAUGUCACACUGGGCACCUUCUACCAAGAUUUUCCUUGUCCUGGAAAAUUAAACAUCAGAGGAAUCACAGAGAAGGAAUUAAAGUUCUCAGAUACAUGAGAAUUAUUUUAUUUUAUGGGUAGGGUUUUCAUGGGAACUAAAGGGCUGAAUGAAUGGCUGGAAGUAAGACUUUGAAAAUAGGUCAACAGAGUUGUAGGGAAGAACAUGGAGGCCAGCAGAGGUGGCAGUGAACUGAAAGGAACUAGGUGGGAGAAUGGAGACAACAACCAGGAGAGGGAGAGAAUAUCCAAAGUAAAAUAAAUAAUAGUAAUAAAGCAAUGGAGAUCAGGUGUCUCUAAUGGGACUGUGGCUGACAACCUUUGUUUUUCUAACUGUUUUCUGUUUCUUGGUAGCCCAUCCCACCACAAAAACACGUCUUCUCCAGUAUGAGGAAAUGAGCAAUUCGCAAUAGUAAAGUGACUAUAUAAAAAUUCGAAUUUGUGCCAGAGCAGUGCAGAAAGGAGCUAGUGGAAUUCCCAUGGCGGUGGGUGGCACAGGUGUUUGAGUAGGAUCACAGUCUGAAGUAGUACCUGAGCACAGAGUGGGGGACCAAGAUGUAGCAGCCAAGUAAACAAAUCUGCCAAGCAGAUCCACAGUGCGGCAGCUCCCUGCAGCUGCUGGAGCUGGUCUUCGGCGAGGAAGAGGUGUUAACACGGAGCUAUGCAGACAUCCUCGCAGAGCAAGAGGAUGGCUGUGCUCACUUGCCCCUUUGCAAAAACCAUUGGAAGUUGCAACACAGCAGGGAGCAGCUGCUAAUUUUUAAUUCAGACCAUCCGAACGGCUGGAUGAGGAGAGAGCUUAUGGACUGCUCAGGAUUUCUGAAGGUUCAAGUGGAGGACAGGGGCUGGGAUAAAACAGGACAUUCCACAAGGGAGCCCACACAACAGCAGCAGCCGACAGCUGAGCCUCCUCAAUGGCUUGCUGUCCUGACACCACACUCGCAGGAUUUCCUCUCUGCUCUCAAACCACAUAACAAGAUCUGUUCUUGUCACAGGAAGCAUGUCCACAUCUGUUCGUGUUACCUGCUAAUCGAUGUGAGAUGAUUCUGAACAUUUCAGCCUUGAAAAAAGCUGCAGCAGGUCUUUGCGACAUGAUAAAACACUGUGCAGUGGUAGUGGGAAUCCUUAAUGCCUCAGGUAUCUGAUCUCAGGUAGAAGGAUACUUCUUAACAAGAUUUCAUAUUAUGGCAUUCAGCAGCAAUUUCAGAGCUCAAAUGCCUGAAGCAGGAGUUUGGGUUCAGCCCUUUUUAUUUCUCCAUCAGAAAGCUUUUUCCAAAACCUUUCCUCAUUAAAGCUAUCUCUGUAACAUCAGGAGCAGAAGUGCUCCCAAGCCUCUGGACCCAGAGUGAGCCCUUAUUCUGCACGAAGACAAGGCCUGGGAACGCAGGGAUGCAUUCACCCUGCCACAGAAGGAAACUUCUUGGUGUCCUCUAGCCACUGUCCUGAGCUGGAUGAUCAUAGCACUUGAAUGUCCUACAACCCAAACCUGCCCUGCCUACCAGAGAGAGCCCGAGUCUGAUGUGUCCUACCUGACCAUGCCGCCCACCUCUGUCUCUGAUCUGAGCCUUUUCUCCACAAAACAUGCCAACCCUACACACCCUGACCUUUAGUAAAGGGCAUAAUUUAUUCAGGCUCAUUUGGCAUCAUUGCCUGAUAGAGGGCAGACCUGAUUUGCUGACAAAAACUUUCUUGUCUGAGAUACAGGAGUAAAGGUGCAACUUUAAGCAUCUUCCUACUCCCCUUAUGCAUUGAGAAGAGAGGACAGCAGACAUGAAAAAUGUCAUCUACAGACUGCUGCAAUGUGGGAAGGAGCAAUAUACAUGUGAAUCACUUUGAGACGUGUGGAAGCCGAUCAUUUUUUGUUCUCAACCUAUGAACCUUGAAAAACUGCUAACUAGAUUAGCCCAUGUAAAUUAAUGCUCCACAUCCCUAGCUGCAGUGAAAGGUGAGCUACUAGGUCCUUUGGCUUAUAUGUAAAACCAGGUUUCCAGAUUCUUUUUGCCAGGGAUAAUGCUUACAACAAGCUGCACACUAUUUCGAAAUGGCCUGCACACCAUCGUUUGGACACCCAGUAGAGUUAAUGUGGCUUUUGGACUCUGCAUGAAAGCCACUUCCUAGCGUGGGAGUUGUGUAACAUUAAUUUCUAGGUAUCUAAUAAUUACUGAAGUUUUAUCUGUAUUGUGUAAUACAGUGAAAUUACAGUGGGAUGUAGCUGGCUAAGAACAAAGUCCUUAUACACAAAGCAAAGAGAGCAUAGAGAGUAUCAAUUUCAGCUCUUCUUUCCACUGAAAUACUUCAAAUCUGGUCUCCGUGUUUGCUGCUAAGGACAGGCAACACAUCCAUUAACUUCUUGAUUAUUAAUCUCUUCACAUCAGUAAAGACAAAACCUGUCUAGAAGCUGGUCUAAAAUUCCAGCACAUUUUUUCCCUGAAAAAGCCCUGAUUGUGCACUCCUCAAUUCCAAGUGAAUAGAAGUUGCAUCUAUUUUCGACUAACAGCUAUUAAGAGCUGAUUUACAACCAGCUCUCCCUGAGGAAGUUCUUGCUCAUUUUGGGUUUAAGAGUUAGGCAAGCAGCAGUACUGCCAAUCUCUCAAUUUCUCAGAAUUUAUGAACUGGAUCUCCCAAAAUUGUGAAGUUUAAAAUACAGUAAAUACAGGACUGUCUUCCCAUCAUUUUGUGGAUUAAACCUAUAUUUAAAGAA